GUUUGGUGCUUAUUGCAUGAGAGAUACACCUGUUCCCAUGUCGAACACAGCAGUUAAGUCUCAUUACGCCGGAAGUAGUUGGGGGUUACCCCCCUGUGAGAUAUGGUCGGUGCCAAGC
This 118-nucleotide ribosomal RNA is filed under the name Pseudolactococcus raffinolactis 4877. Lineage: Bacteria; Bacillati; Bacillota; Bacilli; Lactobacillales; Streptococcaceae. The record is from RNAcentral.